Molecule: ribosomal RNA, 445 nt
Filed under: uncultured bacterium
Lineage: Bacteria
Description: partial 16S ribosomal RNA
Rfam family: Bacterial small subunit ribosomal RNA
Source: RNAcentral
GUAGGGAAUAUUGGGCAAUGGGUGCAAGCCUGACCCAGCCAUCCCGCGUGCCGGAUGAAGGCCCUCUGGGUCGUAAACGGCUUUUGACGGUGAAGAACCGAAAGGGUGCGCCCUUUUUUGACGGUAGCCGUUGAAUAAGCACCGGCUAACUCCGUGCCAGCAGCCGCGGUAAUACGGUGGGUGCGAGCGUUGUCCGGAUUUAUUGGGUUUAAAGGGUGCGUAGGCUGGAGGGACAGUCAGCGGUGAAAAGCAGUUGCUCAACAAGUGUCUUGCCGCAGAUACUACCUUUCUUGGAUUGGGAGGAGGUUACCGGAACGGAUGGUGUAGCGGUGAAAUGCAUAGAUAUCAUCCAGAACGCCAAUUGCGAAGGCAGGUAACUGUACCUAUAUCGACGCUGAUGCACGAAAGCAUGGGUAGCGAACAGGAUUAGAAACCCGUGUAGUCC